GCGAUUCGGGGCAGACCAGGAUGGGUUUGCUUUUUAACCGGGAAACAACGAAAGCGACAUCAUCUUUGACUAGCCUAAAUACGGAGCUGACGAGGAGGAGGCUUAACGUUAACAGGGAAAACACCUACAGUCCUGCAUCUUUGACUCGUGACGCAUUUCAAAAAGCAGUGCAGAAUGCAGACACGGAGUUUGCUUUUAACAGUGAAAACACCGAGUAGCUAGACCAACUCCACAAACUGCGGACCAACAAUGCACGUGAAAUUUUCACUUUAUUUCCUUAUUUGGAGGACCAAUCUUCUUAGAAUGGGAGCAAUUCUAUGAUGCACCAAGUGGCUAAGGGUACCAGGCUUGGUGUUUAAAGACUGUACAGACUAGAACCUGGUGAUGGAAAGAUAACAGAUAAGUUAACAUAUGAGAGAAUCAUGGGCACAAACAAAAAUAAUCAUGGCUUGGUAUUACUAGAUUUUCUUUGUUUCAUAACACAUUUUGAAUUUGUCUAGUCAAAUUACUUACCAAAAGUGUGUGUGUGUGUGUGUGUAUAUAUAUAUAAACUUAAAAUAAGAUUUCUAAUCAAUGGUUUUCUUGAUUUGACAAGUAGAAAUCUCUGCCCAUCACCUGCCCCCAACAUUACAAAGCCACAAGAAGAGAACACCGAUCCUUCCAGAAUCCGGCGGCUGACUAUUUAGUGAGAUUUCUUAAGGUACCCAGUACUACAACGAUUUUUCACUAAAGUUGGAUCUGCACAGCCUUUUCUGCUCUGUGAAACAACUGCACUGAACUUUACUGUUAGCGACUGGAUACAGCUGAUCCACUCAUAUCCUGCUACUGUUUUUCAUCUGCUGAAUGUUUUUGACUCAAGCACUGCUGUACUGUUGCAAAGUCAAAGGUACUGAAUUAACUUCACUGACACAGGACUCACAUUCACUGAUAUGUUCAGGACUUAAGUAUUAAACACCAUUUGAUCACAUCAUAUAAUUCUGAUGACAGAAAUCCAUAUAUUGUGCAUUCA
Molecule: non-coding RNA, 1009 nt
Organism: Pimephales promelas (fathead minnow)
Lineage: Eukaryota; Metazoa; Chordata; Actinopteri; Cypriniformes; Leuciscidae
Source: RefSeq, a predicted model, not a curated record